AGGCAAGAAUGCACAGGAAGGGC
RNAcentral lists this non-coding RNA (23 nucleotides) under Rattus norvegicus (Norway rat). The record is from RNAcentral. Lineage: Eukaryota; Metazoa; Chordata; Mammalia; Rodentia; Muridae.